This 345-nucleotide unclassified non-coding RNA is filed under the name soil metagenome. Its description in RNAcentral is "partial contains 5.8S ribosomal RNA, internal transcribed spacer 2, and large subunit ribosomal RNA". The stretch from base 1 to 120 matches the Rfam family "5.8S ribosomal RNA", at positions 35 to 154 of the family's 154-position model. The record is from RNAcentral.
GAUGAAGAACGUAGCGAAAUGCUAUACGUAAUGUGAAUUGCCGAAUUCAGUGAAUCAUCGAGUCUUUGAACGCACAUUGCGCCCCCUGGUAUUCCGGGGGGCAUGCCUGUCCGAGCGUCAUUGCUGCCCUCAAGCACGGCUUGUGUGUUGGGCCUCCGUCCUCCUCCCGGGGGACGGGCCCGAAAGGCAGCGGCGGCACCGCGUCCGGUCCUCGAGCGUAUGGGGCUUCGUCACCCGCUCUUGUAGGCCCGGCCGGCGCUUGCCGACACAUCAAUCUUUUUUCCAGGUUGACCUCGGAUCAGGUAGGGAUACCCGCUGAACUUAAGCAUAUCAAUAAGCGGAGGA